CGUAGGAUGCAAGCGUUGUCCGGAUUUAUUGGGCGUAAAGAGUUCGUAGGUGGUUCGUUAAGUCUGAUGUUAAAGACUGGGGCUCAACCCUGGAAGUGCAUUGGAUACUGGCGGACUUGAGUGUGGUAGAGGCAAUCGGAAUUCCAGGUGUAGCGGUGAAAUGCGUAGAUAUCUGGAAGAACACCGGUGGCGCAAGCGGAUUGCUGGGCCAUAACUGACACUGAGGAACGAAAGCUAGGGGAGCGAAUGGGAUUAGAUACCCCAGUAGUCCUAGCCGUAAACGAUGGAUACUAGGCGUAUCGGGUAUCGACCCCUGAUGUGCCGCAGCUAACGCGAUAAGUAUCCCGCCUGAGUAGUACGGCCGCAAGGUUG
This 372-nucleotide ribosomal RNA is filed under the name uncultured organism. Its description in RNAcentral is "bacterial SSU rRNA". It matches the Rfam family "Bacterial small subunit ribosomal RNA", at positions 526 to 896 of the family's 1533-position model. The record is from RNAcentral.